This 442-nucleotide ribosomal RNA is filed under the name uncultured bacterium. RNAcentral's name for it is "partial 16S ribosomal RNA". It matches the Rfam family "Bacterial small subunit ribosomal RNA", at positions 338 to 795 of the family's 1533-position model. The record is from RNAcentral.
CCUACGGGUGACAGCAGUGGGGAAUAUUGGACAAUGGGGGCAACCCUGAUCCAGCGACGCCGCGUGGAGGAAGAAGGAUUUCGGGAUGUAAACUUCUUUUCUCAGGGAAGAAGAAAUGACGGUACCUGAGGAAGAAGCCCCGGCGAAAUACGUGCCAGCAGCCGCGGUAAUACGUAGGGUGCAAGCGUUAUCCGGAUUUACUGGGUGUAAAGGGCGUGUAGGCGGGAUGGCAAGUCAGAUGUGAAAGCCUGCGGCUCAACCGAGGGACUGCAUUUGAAACUGUUGGUCUUGAGUGCUGGAGAGGCAGGCGGAAUUCCUAGUGUAGCGGUGAAAUGCGUAGAUAUUAGGAGGAACACCAGUGGCGAAGGCGGACUGCUGGACAGUAACUGACGCUGAGGCGCGAAAGCGUGGGGAGCAAACAGGAUUAGAUACCCGAGUAGUC